AUCAGCCCAUUAAGUUAUGUGUGUUUUAGUGGAACGCUCUGGGAAGUGCGAACGUAGAGGGUGAUAUUCCCGUACACGAAAGGGCACACAUAAUGAUGACGAGUAGGGCGAGGCACGUGAAACCUUGUCUGAAUAUGGGGGGACCAUCCUCCAAGGCUAAAUACUCCUGACUGACCGAUAGUGAACCAGUACCGUGAGGGAAAGGCGAAAAGAACCCCUGUGAGGGGAGUGAAAUAGAUCCUGAAACCGCAUGCAUACAAGCAGUGGGAGCACCUUCGUGGUGUGACUGCGUACCUUUUGUAUAAUGGGUCAGCGACUUAUAUUCAGUAGCAAGGUUAACCGUAUAGGGGAGCCGUAGAGAAAUCGAGUCUUAAUAGGGCGUUUAGUUGCUGGGUAUAGACCCGAAACCAGGCGAUCUAUCCAUGAGCAGGUUGAAGGUUGGGUAACACUAACUGGAGGACCGAACCCACUGUCGUUGAAAAGCCAGGGGAUGACUUGUGGAUAGGGGUGAAAGGCUAAUCAAGCCUGGUGAUAGCUGGUUCUCCCCGAAAGCUAUUUAGGUAGCGCCUCGGACGAAUACCAUAGGGGGUAGAGCACUGUUUCGGCUAGGGGGUCAUCCCGACUUACCAAACCGAUGCAAACUCCGAAUACCUAUGAGUACUAUCCGGGAGACAGACUGCGGGUGCUAACGUCCGUAGUCAAGAGGAAAACAAUCCAGACCGCCAGCUAAGGCCCCAAAAUCAUAGUUAAGUGGGAAACGAUGUGGGAAGGCAUAGACAGCUAGGAGGUUGGCUUAGAAGCAGCCACCCUUUAAAGAAAGCGUAAUAGCUCACUAGUCGAGUCGGCCUGCGCGGAAGAUGUAACGGGGCUAAAA
RNAcentral lists this ribosomal RNA (874 nucleotides) under Acinetobacter baumannii. RNAcentral describes it as "partial 23S ribosomal RNA". It matches the Rfam family "Bacterial large subunit ribosomal RNA", at positions 298 to 1186 of the family's 2925-position model. The record is from RNAcentral. Lineage: Bacteria; Pseudomonadati; Pseudomonadota; Gammaproteobacteria; Moraxellales; Moraxellaceae.